CCUACGGGAGGCAGCAGUAGGGAAUAUUGCUCAAUGGGGGAAACCCUGAAGCAGCAACGCCGCGUGGGGGACGAAGGUUUUCGGAUCGUAAAGUCCUGUUGUUAGAGAAGAUAAUGACGGUAUCUAAAGAAUAAGCACCGGCUAACUCCGUGCCAGCAGCCGCGGUAAUACGGAGGGGGCAAGCGUUAGUCGGAUUCACUGGGCGUAAAGAGCGCGUAGGCGGGAUAGCAAGGCAGAGGUGAAAGCCGAUGGCCUAACCAUAGAACUGCAUUUGAAACUGUUAAUCUAGAGUGUGGGAGGGGAAGGUGGAAUUCUUGGUGUAGGGGUGAAAUGCGUAGAGAUCAAGAGGAAUACUCGUUGCGAAGGCGACCUGCUGGAUCGUAACUGACGCUGAGGCGCGAAAGCGUGGGGAGCAAACAGGAUUAGAUACCCGAGUAGUC
Molecule: ribosomal RNA, 440 nt
Filed under: uncultured bacterium
Lineage: Bacteria
Description: partial 16S ribosomal RNA
Rfam family: Bacterial small subunit ribosomal RNA
Source: RNAcentral